Molecule: long non-coding RNA, 1047 nt
Organism: Gambusia affinis (western mosquitofish)
Lineage: Eukaryota; Metazoa; Chordata; Actinopteri; Cyprinodontiformes; Poeciliidae
Exons: 2
Source: RefSeq, a predicted model, not a curated record
UAAAUAUCCACAAGAAAUAAAACAGAAAAAAUAAAUAAAAUGAAUUAAGUCUCUGCAAACAAAACAGUCCUUCAAAAUAAAGCUCAGUUGAGACCAAAUCACCAAACUGAAGACUUUGAUAUCCAGUUCUGAUAAAUUAUGCAAGUCAACGUUAUUGAAUUUGUUUUAAUUUAUCAUGUGGUUAAUUGAUUUAUUGACUAUUAUGACAGGCCUAGUUAUAACUUAAUAGUAAUUUCUGUUCUGCCUGUCACUGUAACAAAUUUUGCUGAGCGAUUAAUUGUCUCAAACAUUAUUGCGAUAAACGAUAAUAUUGCUUGAAGACCAUUUAAACUGAUGUAAUGGUAAUGACAUAAUAAUGCAAGUUCAUCCUGCCAAAAAAUAAAAACACUUUAUUUUCAAAAGAACAAUUAAAGCUGGAACUGUUAAACAAAACGACCAAAAAUAAAUAACUCAGUCUCCGUUAACAAAAAAUGUACUUGAGUAAAAACUAAACAUAAAACCAAAGUGGAAAUAAAAACUACAUUCAACCAAAAGUGUGCAGAUUAUGAAGUCUGUUUACUAUGUUGCCGUUCAAUAAUCAAUAGAUUUAGAUGGAGAAGACGGCCUGGGGCAAUAGUUCACUCCUCCAUUAAGGAAACGAGGAAGGCCUUUUUCAUCCUGAGUCAUCAACAGGAAGAGAAAAAGGCAGGAAGAAACGAUAAAGCCGGUACCUCUGCGACUUCACCUACUACACGUCUCUGUACCUGAGCCGCGGCCGCUCCGCCUUCCACCACGUGCCUCCUCUGGGAAAGCCUUACAGCGGGGAGGAGCUGGGCGCGCGCUGCAGGCCAUCAUCAGGGAGAUGCUGGAGCUCCUGGACCAGGCGGAGGACCAGAUUCACUGCCAGCAGCACAUCCACUAAGUGACCUCCCUGCAGCGUCUCCAGCCCGAGGCACACAAGACUAAUUGCACUUGACCACAAGUAGCCAAAACUUACUUUUCUUGUUUUUAGUUUUUUUUAUUUUUCUUGCUCUUAAUUUACUGAACUUUUGAGAUUUGGCCAUUUUU